RNAcentral lists this ribosomal RNA (194 nucleotides) under uncultured bacterium. Its description in RNAcentral is "partial 16S ribosomal RNA". It matches the Rfam family "Bacterial small subunit ribosomal RNA", at positions 338 to 524 of the family's 1533-position model. The record is from RNAcentral.
CCUACGGGAGGCAGCAGUGGGGAAUUUUGGACAAUGGGCGCAAGCCUGAUCCAGCCAUGCCGCGUGAGUGAAGAAGGCCUUCGGGUUGUAAAGCUCUUUCGGCCGGGAAGAAAUCGGCGACUCUAACAUAGUCGCUGGAUGACGGUACCGGACUAAGAAGCACCGGCUAACUACGUGCCAGCAGCCGCGGUAAU